Molecule: small RNA, 402 nt
Filed under: Histoplasma capsulatum var. duboisii H88
Lineage: Eukaryota; Fungi; Ascomycota; Eurotiomycetes; Onygenales; Ajellomycetaceae
Description: Histoplasma capsulatum H88 hypothetical RNA
Source: RNAcentral
UUGGUGGAUAUACACCUUUAUCAAGAAUAUUUUCCUCAGAAUAGCUGGUUCCCUGUUCGAAUUCUUGAUCGGGUUGUCUCUCCCGAAUGGGUGCGUAUAAAGCAGCAUCCGAUCCACAAGGAGAGCCGUAGUUUCCAUCAAACAGCAUGUGAUGAGCAACUGCUGCUCUUUUCAUCGGCUUGCCUGGAUUACGAUGCAUAUUCACGGAAGAAGCAGGGAGGAAUCGCGUUUUGUCGUGUCAAUCUAUCGCAAUUUCAAUCGCGCAACAAUUGAAACGGAUAGCAAAAUAGUGCUACAUUAGAAUUUCGCCCCUCUUCUCGGAAUCGGGAGGGGAGGAUUUCGGCGAGAGGUGACAUUCUGCGUACGCUGUAGAUACUUCGUCAUUACCCCGAAGGAUGGCGC